RNAcentral lists this non-coding RNA (29 nucleotides) under Bombyx mori (domestic silkworm). The record is from RNAcentral. Lineage: Eukaryota; Metazoa; Arthropoda; Insecta; Lepidoptera; Bombycidae.
CUCGGCGAGACGACGACUCCUACAGACGC